This 253-nucleotide ribosomal RNA is filed under the name uncultured bacterium. Its description in RNAcentral is "partial 16S ribosomal RNA". It matches the Rfam family "Bacterial small subunit ribosomal RNA", at positions 524 to 776 of the family's 1533-position model. The record is from RNAcentral.
UACGUAGGAUGCAAGCGUUGUCCGGAUUUAUUGGGCGUAAAGAGUUCGUAGGUGGUUUGUUAAGUCUGAUGUUAAAGACUGAGGCUCAACCUCGGGAGUGCAUUGGAUACUGGCAGACUAGAGUAUGGUAGAGGCAAGCGGAAUUCCCAGUGUAGCGGUGAAAUGCGUAGAUAUUGGGAAGAACACCGGUGGCGUAGGCGGCUUGCUGGGCCAUAACUGACACUGAGGAACGAAAGCCAGGGGAGCGAAUGGG